AACGAAGUAAGAAGUGCGCGACGGUUCUAAAUUUUUCUGCUUAAAAUAUUUUUGAGUCUAAGAAUAAAAUUGUUACGAAUAAAAGGAGGUGACAUAUACAUACGGUGUUAAAAGUAAAAAUUUACGAGUGUAAAAUUGGCUAAAGCUAAAGGCACGAAAUUUGUUAAAAGCUAAUUAAAAAGUGUACACACGAUAAAAAGGUAAUUUAUAUGAAACGUUAUAAAAUGCUGGUAUAGGUUAGGGUCGAUAAGGAAUGUGGCCGAUUUUCUAAUAUUGCUGGGUAGGUUCCCAGUGAACCUUUUUAUCUCGGGCUUCGGAUCUACGUCCGUAAGUCGCUCUAUUCACAGAAAUUAUCAUCGAAGACCGUAUCUGAAUAAGCCAUCUAUCACGGCGAAGAAGACUCAACGCAGAUAAGGACCAGCGGACAGAUUGUACACGGCUCUCAGACGCUAUUACGAGAGCAAUAUCGCACCUGCUGAUAGAAUUCGGCCCUACACCACGUGGUCAAUUCCGUCACGACAAGGCAGCUUUCACAUCACAUCCACGUGAUUGCCUCCGAGAAACGACAACUACAUCGGUUCCCGUAACGACACGCUAAUAUCCAGUAUCGACUUCAACUACUACAAGCAGUCGACAGCAGUCCCGGAAACCUAGCCCGAGAUCACCCUAGCACACCAGCAUAACUUAAAACCCAAACCGCAAGUAGAACGUAGUGACGUCACGUAGGUUAAGAGUUCAUGUUAGCAAUUAAGAAU
Long non-coding RNA from Topomyia yanbarensis, 755 nucleotides. RefSeq lists it as uncharacterized. The record is from RefSeq and is a predicted model, not a curated record. NCBI's taxonomy places the organism in Eukaryota, Metazoa, Arthropoda, Insecta, Diptera, Culicidae. The transcript has 3 exons.